GAAAAUAUCAGUUCAACGAAUUUACUUGUUAUCUGUCGGACUUUAUAUUCGUCAAAAAGUGAACCUCUGUCACACAGUAAAGAUGGCGGGUAGUUUUCUGAUUACAGUAAUUCUGUUUGCGGGAUUAACAGGCGUAUUUGCGGGGACACAUUGUAGUUCAUCGUCUGACACUUCGUAUGGAUGGUAUAGCCAGAUAUAUUGUGAAAAUGGUUGUUGUGGAAAUUAUGACAAUCGAUAUUGUUGUACCGAGUACACAGUGAAUGUUGGAAUGACCCUU
Molecule: long non-coding RNA, 277 nt
Organism: Ruditapes philippinarum (Manila clam)
Lineage: Eukaryota; Metazoa; Mollusca; Bivalvia; Venerida; Veneridae
Exons: 3
Source: RefSeq, a predicted model, not a curated record